Molecule: long non-coding RNA, 475 nt
Organism: Ictalurus punctatus (channel catfish)
Lineage: Eukaryota; Metazoa; Chordata; Actinopteri; Siluriformes; Ictaluridae
Exons: 2
Source: RefSeq, a predicted model, not a curated record
UGCUGAAGUAAGUUCAGGACUAGCUCCGACAGGUUUAACAGCCACUCGCAUACAACGAGGGUCGCAGUGGAGCCUGGAUCCUUAGGAACUCUGGACACAAGGCGGGGGAUACCCUGGACGGGGUGCCGACCCAUCGCAGGCCACAAUCGCACACAUUCACACACUACGGACAAUUUGGAAAGACCAGUCGUCCUACAACGUAUGUCUUUGGACUGGGGGAAGAAACAAUAGUACCCGGAGGAAACCCCUGAAGCACGGAGAGAACAAGCAAACUCUGCACACACAGGACAGAGGCGGGAUGUUGAAGCAGAGGAAAACGUGCCAAAUAAGUACACCCUAUGGGUGUUACACUAUAUCCAAUGACACAUAAAAUUGACAUUUUGUAGUAAUUUUCACAAUUGAAAUUAUAUUUAAAAAAACAACAACAACAGAUCAGUCACACAUGUCCAAAUAUGUCAAAAAAGCCAAACAUUUC